UCAUGCCUGGAGAGAGAUCCAGUGAGGCCCUUCUCUUUCUCGUUUCCGUACUCACGACUCUCUAGAGGCGGUUCAGGAUCUUCACGUACACUUGGUCUGUGCUCUAAAUCAGGGGUGUGUGCCCACGGCUGGGGUGGGGCGCGCUACUGGCAUCUGGCAGCUAGAGGCCGGGGUGCCGGCACCCUAGAAGGCAGAACACAGUCCACCCCUCCCCUAACAGAGAAUUCUCUUGGCCCCAGAAGUCGCAAGGGCCUGGGCUCAGGAGCCCUGUCCUAAAAGACACUUUUGCAUGGUUACCUUAAGCCUCAGCGGCCCAAUCACCUUGCUAUGAUGUCACCUCACACCUUUCUUGGGCAUAGAAAAGCUACUAUAAAACCACAGUGAAAAUAAUUUCAGAGUUACAGAGGUCUUAAGGAGAAAAAUCCCACCACAGAUGUUAAAAAUUGUCAAACAGCCCCUGGUAUUUCUGUUAGGCUCUCUUCAACCAGUGAAGGCAACAACAGAGGCCACGAGAUGCUUACAAAUGAUACAGUGCAAAAGCCCGGCAGAUCACAGUUGCCAUCCUGACGGGCUAGGCUGCCCUUGGAAGGUGGUAAGCAAAGAGAGAAAGUGGAGUGGCAAACCAUUCUUCUUUGGUCCCCUCCAGAUAACGGCAUCGUCAGGACUGCUGAGCAAGAAACCCACGGACAUCACCCCCAGGUUGUCUUCCAAGAACUAAACAGGAUGAAACAAGAAACAUUUAAAACCACAGGGCAAGGCACUUCCUUGUCAUUUAUCUGAGCUCAAAAUGAAAAAACCAUUUGGGGAACUAAAUGACCACGUGACUUAUGGGUCUAUUCAUUAUUUUUUGCCAGUUUAUUAUUUAUUUUGAGAGAGGGAGGGACGGACGGAGAGAGAGACGGGGAGAGAGAGAAUUCCAAGUAGGCUCUGCGUUGUCAGCACGGAGCCUGACCUCACAAACCGUGAACUCACGACCUGAGCUGAAACCAAGAGUGAGGCCAUUAACCAAUAGCCACCCAGGCGCCUUGGGUCUAUUCAUUCUUUAAACCCACAAAUCGUUUUGAGCAGGGGGAGAAGAAGGGUUACCAUAUGGGGGGGGGGGGGGACUUGAAAGAGGCCCCCUGGGGCCCUGUGCUGCAGCCUAACCUCAGUUGAAGCAUCCUUUAACUGCUCUCACCUGGGUUGGCAAACCUUAGCUCCCAGGCCAAAUCUCGCCCACCUUCUGCUUUCGUACGUCAAGUUUAUUUACAACCGUGGUCAUUUGUUCACGUAUUAUUACCUUCACACUACAACAGCGGGUAGCGUACCAUCCCUGAACUGCAAAUAAUUACUAUCUGACCCUUCGGAGAAACAGUUUGCCAGUCCCUGAUCUUAACUGUAUUCCCUGCACCUAAAACAGUCCUUCGAUAGUAAGUAUCUGCUGACUGAGUGUUGGGUUGAGGAAAGUGUUGCCAGCCCAACCCACAUCUGCUACGUACACAGGACACACUACCCUGAAAAUAAGGCAAAGAGAAAUAAUAGGGUGCUUGCGUGGCUCAGUCAGUUAAGCCUCUGACUUCAGCUCAGGUCACGAUCUCAUGGUUCGUGAGUUCGAGCCCCGCAUCGGGCUCUGUGCUGACAGCUCAGAGCCUAGAGCCCGCUUUGGAAUCUGUCUCCCUCCCCACCCCCCGCCCCCACGACUUAUGCGCACUCUCUCUCUCAAAAAUAAACACUGAAAAACAAAACAAAACCAACUCACCACUGGAGACCAGCCCGAGCCACUCUGGUGAACCUGCACAAACACAAACAUGGACACACGCAUUUAUAAGAAAUGACACGCUUAGGCACACUUCUCACACAGACCGAUUUACACAUUAAGAAAACAACUUCAUAAAACAAUUCAUCCUCUCAAAUGCUACCACUAAAUCCUUACUAGAGAGUGAACAGCUGGGGAGAGGCCAUGGGUCAUACAAGCUCUAUUUCUCAACCCCCCACCCUCCCUGAGUUGGGUUAUUUUGAAACCCUGGCUGGUUAUGUCUAGUCAGGUUCAAAUAUAACCUGGGGCCGGGGGUAUUUUACAGGUGUGACAGCAACCAGGCAGGGGUUGUCGAGGAUGUGCAGGGGACUGUGGUGCAGCAAGGCCGUCUCUGUAAAAGGCCAGGUGUGAAGCAGCGACACAGACCCUGGCCCAUCAGUGGCCAGGGUGUCAGCCUACGUUCGUUAACAGCAGGCGUUCAACCCCACCCCGCCUCUUCCUCUUCAAGCUGGACCUGACUCCACUUCCAAGUACACGGCAGUCUUAGCAGCUGUGUCGCCGGGCAGCACAGGAGCCCUACUGUUAAAACGCUCUCCGGAGAGCUCAUUCCCACGCCACGUCAGUCUCCCACAGCCAACAGCUCAGUGGCUUUCGGGAUAUUCGCGGGAGCUGGGCCCCCACCACCGGUCAGUUUCAGAACAUUUUCGUCACCCCUUAGCGGUCGUCCCCGAUCCUUCCACCUCCCCCCUAUCCUAGAUGACCACCACCCACCCUUGUCUCUACAGAGGUGCCUGUUCUGGACAUUUCACAGACAUGCAACCAUAAACCAGGUGGUCUCUGAUGACUGGCUUUAAGGGUUUUUUAGCUUUUUUUUAAUUCCAGCAAACAUGCAGCGUUGCAUCAGUUUCAGGAAUACACCACAGCGACUCUACAAUUCCAUCUGUGACUCUGCUCAUCACAACAGGUGUGUCCUUGGUCCCCCUUCACCUGUUUCACCCAGGUCUUCAUUUAAAACAAACAAACAAAAAAAAACGGGCACCCGGGGUCUCAAGAGGUUGAGCAUCCGACUUCAGCUUAGGUCAUGAUCUCACGGUUCAUGGGUUCGAGCCCCGCAUCAGGCUCUGUGCUAAAAGCUCAGAUCCUAGAGACUGCUUCGGAUUCUGUGUCUCCCUCUCUCUCUCUGCCCCUCCCCCACUUGCACUCUCUCUCUCUCUCUCUCUCUCUCUCUCUC
Molecule: long non-coding RNA, 2966 nt
Organism: Acinonyx jubatus (cheetah)
Lineage: Eukaryota; Metazoa; Chordata; Mammalia; Carnivora; Felidae
Exons: 2
Source: RefSeq, a predicted model, not a curated record